UUGUUCCCCCCUCUUAAAUAAAGCCAAACAAAUAUAUUAUUCCCUCUUCCAUAAUAAAAUUGAGCCGCAUCAAAAAUAAAAACUCAUUUCUUCUUUUUGCUCAUACGAUUGAUCUCCCUUCUCCUUCUUUCUUGCUGUUGCAUUGCCAUCCGGCCGACUAACGUCCAAGGCUGUGUUUCUUUAUCCUCUAGGUUCGACAGUAGAGAGAGAGAGAGAGAGAGAGAGAGAGAGAGAGAGAGAGAGAGAGAGAGAGAGAGAAGAGAGAGAGAGAAGAGAGAGAGAGAAGAGAGAGAGAGAGAGAGAGAGAGAGAGAGAGAGAGGUGGAAGUGGAGCGAUGAUUUUCGACCAUGCCGAGUCAUUUCUGGCAAUUUCAAUCAAUAAGUUUAGCUAUUGACUGCCUUGGAAUAGAUCCAAGUUCACAAUUCUUCACUCUGCUAAAAUGGAUGAAGUUGUUAUUGGAAGCGUGAUCAUCUCAGACUACUUUUGCUAUGGAACAUAGCUGCGAAUAAGAGUAUAAUGAUUCCAGCUUAUGGGAAUAUAAUCCCAGCCUUGGCACAGUCCCCCAUUAUUGGAAUGGUAGCUUCUGCAAGUCAUGGGAGCUCUGUUAAGCUAUUGAAAUAGAAGUCAUUAGCUUUGCAGAAAUCUGUGAAGCAAGCAAUGACAUGUGGGUUAGUCGGUACGCAAUAUCUUUUUUAAUCCUACAUAAAUGUAGUAAUUGCUAAAUGCGUAAUUUGUAGUGCACUUUUUAUGAUUCUAUUUGGUUGAAGGUUUUGAGAAUCAAGAAGCAGGUGGAGCAGUUUGUUUGGCAGAACAUUUGAUAGUAGGACUCCUAAUUGGCAAUAGAUCAUGUGUACAGGAAUCCAAUUCUGAUAUAUAUUGUUUGAACUUUUUUU
Molecule: long non-coding RNA, 893 nt
Organism: Jatropha curcas
Lineage: Eukaryota; Viridiplantae; Streptophyta; Magnoliopsida; Malpighiales; Euphorbiaceae
Source: RefSeq, a predicted model, not a curated record